Long non-coding RNA from Xenopus tropicalis (tropical clawed frog), 844 nucleotides. RefSeq lists it as uncharacterized. The record is from RefSeq and is a predicted model, not a curated record. NCBI's taxonomy places the organism in Eukaryota, Metazoa, Chordata, Amphibia, Anura, Pipidae. The transcript is spliced from 2 exons.
GGCCUGCGCAGUAGAGUGAAAAAGCUGGCUUUUUUGUUAAAGUUUGGCUUUUCACUUUACUGCACAUGCGCAAGCAGUGCGUAGGAAGAGGAUCACUGGUUCACAGCUGCCCCAGGCAGAAACACCAGCCCAGGGGAAAAAAAAAAAAAAAAAAGUAAUACAAAGACUUAGGGACCUUGUGACGUCCACUGAAUUUACAAGAUCCAACAGAACCAUGAGGCUGUAUACACAAUAUUUCCACAUGGGAACUCCGUAUGAACAUAGAGGCAAUGCUCUUAUUGUUGCCACAUGAGGACCUGUCAAUCCAAAACAUAAUUCAAAAUCAUAUUUUAUUAUGCUUGUCAGGCAAAAAAACUUUACUUACACCAUAUAAAAUAUUUAAUUAUUGUUUCUUUUUUCUGUUUGAAUCCAUAAUCACAGCAAGCAGGCAGUAGCCACUUUAUUAAGGCAGACUGCAACUUCCUAAAAUCAUGUGUGUACAUCAGAGGGGGGACCUGAUUAUAGACAGUGAGAUGGGAGAGGGAAUGUGAGGAGUGCAGUGACCCUAGGAGGUGCAGAAUGGAAAGUAAAAGUAAUUCACUGCUCUACCUCUAUGCCUGAGGUAUAGAGCUGGGGAAGGCAAAAUAUGUAAUUUUUUAAUGCAUUAUAGCAGGAUGUAAUGUUAAAUAACAGAAUGUGGAUUUAAUGGUUAAUUUGAAAAGGAUUUCUGUUUUACAUCUUUUUAUGUGUCCUCUUUAAAGGCAUGGUUCACCUUCAGGUAAACUUUUAGGGACUGAUUUAUCAAAGUACAUAUUUCGGAUCUUAAAAAGUACAAUUCAAAAAAGAAAAUUUUGUAUUAAAUAUG